Molecule: unclassified non-coding RNA, 262 nt
Filed under: Hevea brasiliensis (rubber tree)
Lineage: Eukaryota; Viridiplantae; Streptophyta; Magnoliopsida; Malpighiales; Euphorbiaceae
Source: RNAcentral
AAAAUUGGAGGUGUGGGAUACAUUAACUGAUGCUGCAGUGUCUCGGAAGUAUGGGAAUGACAGGCAGAGGAGAUCUUAAGUUGUUAAACUAUUGAGUUAUGAUAAAUAUACAUGAAAAAUGUUCGGUUGUGUAGCUAGUUAAUUUUGGAAUCUUUUUUUUUACACAAACUUGGGCUUUGUCCUUCAAAUUUUGUAGCUGUUUUGAGUUUGUCACUUUCCAAUUCCCUGCAUUUUCUUGUGGCAGGGUAUACCUAAAGAUUUG